UGAUUCAGUAGGGAUUGAUAAAAGGGAAGGGAGCCACUCGCCUGCAUGUGCCGAUUUUACAGCAGCGCUUUGCACUUUAUAGAAGGUAGUUGGAGCUUCAACACUCCGGAUUCUAUGUCACGCGCAAGCUGCUCCAUUGGAACGCGCGCCGGUAGUCCACGCCACAAGAAGGAUCCCAUAGAUGCAAUUAUUUUUGACGUGUGAACGCAGUACGGUGGAAGAAUUGAUGCCACAUACCAAAUCUUGGACGUCGCAAAAGUAUUCAGCAGUAUUACUUUCUGCUGAAGGUUUAGGCUCCUCAGCGAAAGCAGCCACAAAUGCUGGGCAAAUUUUGACACGAGCACGUCCCAAUAUAUUUUAACCAUUGCCCGAAUCGAAUUGGUGAAAAAUACGACGAGUAUUUUAAUCGUCUCAGCGGUUCGUAGCAAUUGAGCAUUCAGAGGAUUUCCAUCAACUAGCCCGACGUCUAUUGCGACAGUUUUUUGUCUGUUGAGUUUUGCUCCGGCUACUCGCUCGAAGCGGUCGAAGAGUUCAUUGAUGGUUUCAAUCGCACACAUGCUGGUGACUACCACAGAUUUAUCGUCUGCAUGUGCCACCACGAGAUCGGGGGCGACCUGUUGCUCCAGAUGUUCGAGAAACGGGUAUAGGUACAUGACGAAUAGUAGCAUGGUCAUUGGGUCUCCCUGCCGAACCGAACGUUCGAUGGGGAAACGUUGCGAAAGAUGCCCGUUCACUAGCAGCCGAGAGAAAGAUUGUUCGGCAAGACGUUUCAGUAGGCCGACGAAGGCUGGGUUUAUUCCCAGCUGCAGCAUGGUUUCGUAAGAGAAAGGAUGAGACACCCGAUCAAAGGCAUGAUCGAGAUCAUAGCUUAUCAGCUUCCCUUUUUGCUUCGUCGCUUUUAGCUCUGCAAUGCGGUCUUUUAGAGAAAGAGUGGCUUCGAAGAUUGAGUGCCCGUCGUUUGCACACUUCUGUGCGUCACUCAACACACGGUGAGUUUUUACCACGAGCUCGAGACGUGCUUUCAAUAUUCUCCCGAGAAUUUUAAAGUCCGCGUUCAGGAGACUGAUGGUACGAUAUCCUCGUGCAGUGCUCGCCGUUCCUCUCUUUCGGACUAGCACGAUAACCCCGUCAGCAAAAUCGGCUGGUAUUUCCGAAGUUAGGGCCUCGUUCAAAACGAGGUUUAGUUCUCGAUGGAUGACAUCAAAUGUUCGUUAGUAGAAUUCAACGGGUAGCCCGUCGCUUUCCUUUCCGCCGAUGUACGUAAAGCUGCCAGUAUCUCAGCUGUUGUUACCUCUGCCAUGCACGUUUCAUUCGUUCGGUUGUUUUCAGGGAUGACUCUCUCUCGCAUUGGAAAUAGGUCCGCGCUGCUACGUUUUCGUCUGUCGCUGUGUAUAGUUGCCUAAAAUAUCCAAGCAGGUGGUUUUCGGUGGCUGCGGAGGUGGUUAAAGAUUCGUUGUCUUCACCAAUCAACUCGGUGAUGGUGGUUUUUUACGCCGUCUUCCGCCCAGCUAGAACAUGUUGAUAUUUUCCCCUGCUAUAUAGGUGUCGUGCGCAUAAAAUGUUGAGAGAAAUUUCGCUGAUGGGCUAGCAUCCGUGCCUUUAUUCGGUUUAUUGUUGCAAGCAUCGCUGGAUUUUGAAAAUAUCCAUCGUAUGCAUGUUGUAGCUGCGUGUAUAGGCGUUGGUAUUCAUAGUAGUAAACACUGUACGCCUCACGAGAUUUAGCUCGGAAAAGGGAUAGGAUUUUUGGCUUUGCACAUGACAUCCACCAGGUGAGCCAGUUGGGAAACCUUCUCCUCUGUCGGGUGACGUACUACCACGAGAUUUCGAAUUCCGCGACAUUGUCUGCCGUUAGGAGAUGGGGAUGCAGUGACCAGGAGCCGCGACCAGGCGCACGACCGAGGCUAGGGAGGCACAUUCGACUGGUUAAAGCUUUGUGGUUCGUGAAUGAACAGACAGGCGUGGCUGCGUUUCGUAGCUGCGCGCAGAGCCCUUCACUUAUGUGUACUCUUUCAAAGCUAUUGCUGUCCCUCUCCUUGACUGGUCAACGUUUGCGAUGACGUUGUAGCCAGGGAUGAGGAGCUGCUCUGAUUUCACUUCUUGAAGAAAGACGAUGUCUAGUUCCAUCGUCCUGCAAAACGUGCGGAGCGCGUUGAGUUUUGUGUCGUUGGAGAUUGCGUUUGUGUUGAUGGUGGCAACGUUAUAGCUAGAGACAGUGGUAAUUCGCGGCAAAAAAGUUGAAAAUUCGCGGGUGACAAAAUAGUAAUUAUUUGAAAUUCGCGGUAAUUUCGCGGCAACUUUUUUUUUCAGGAAAUACUAAAAAAAGUGAUUUUGCUUUUGAUAAAAACGAGAAACAACUGUUUUAUUUAAUUUUAUAUACGGUAAUUUAACCGUACGAUUCAUUUUUUUUUGCAUUACUGAUAAAAAAUUCAAACUGUGUUAAAUUGUUUCCAGUCAAAUUUUGGUGUCGGUAAGCACCUAUUGUUCAAGUUAUACUGUUCAGUAUCCAAGUUAUAAAGUUCUGAAAAACGUCUGCGAUCCGAGUACCUACCAAAACUACAAUACCAUACCAAUUACACUGUUGAGUAUCUUUUUAAAUACUUACUUGUAUUUAAGUCAUCCUGCAACUCCGAUUUUAUGGCUGCACACUUUGGAAUUCUAUCAUGCAGGUCACCAAUUGCCAAAAUAUUUGCUUUCAGAGGAUCUAGCAACCUAACCGCCAAUUCAAUCCAGGCUACCAAAACAUUUUAUUUUAUUGGUUACGUAGGAAGAGGCCUCCCGUUUCCAUCGAGGUGCCUAUUAAUCUUCAGGUUUGUCCGUGUUGCUGCGGUUUUUCAUCACUUUCGCGGCAUUUCGCGGGUUUUUGUGAAUUUCGCGGAAAUCGCGAUUACCACUGUCCCUAGUUAUAGCUAGUAAACUGAUCCAUUUUUAUAAGCUCAGCUCCUGCUCUUCGUCACCGCCGUUGUCGCUGUUGUUUUUUCCAUCGACAUCAUUUUUGUCGUCGAUAUCGUCCCGUCGCUUUAAGUUUUUACGUUUUCUCCCAGUCUUGCUGUUUGCCGAUGCUGUUGAGGCAUCUGUCUCGUUACCAUCUGAUUUGGCGCCAGCCUGUCUGCUGUACAUUUCACAGCCGGCGGAAGGUUGUUGACCGGAGGUAGAGCGCAACGACCUGCUAUUCGGUGGUUGACUCGAUCCUGAUAUGGGGAUUAUUGGGGCUGUAAGCGAGGGACAAUGUUUUUGCGAUUGCGUGUCGAGCGUAAGUGCUGAGUGUUGUUGUUGCUGCAAUUCCUUCUUCUUCUUCGCUGGAGGGCGACUCGCAUGCGAAGAAGUUGAACUCGGCAGCACUGCCCAAGGAACAAUUAUUGUUGCGUAAACAUUUACUCAACCACUUUUGUUAGGCUCGAGUUGAACAACAACCGAGAUGGAAAAUAGAAAACUUCUGUUCAAUGGUUGUUCAGUUAAAUUUGGAGAAAUUAUCCGACACACAGUAGUUUAGGAACGGCGAAGAGGGUUUGAAACAACAACAGCAGAACAUUUCAUCCAACACUUGUUAAACCAGCGUUGAACAGAUGCGCCGGAAAACAUUUAUUAGGCUACUGUUCUGUAUGUGUUCGACCAGUUGAAUAAAAUAGUCAUCGAACAUCUGUUAAACCGUUGCCCGACUUUUGAAAUGCUCUUGUUAAACGCAUGUUCAAUAAUAAUGUUUGCAAACGUUUAUUUCGCGCAUUAGUACAUACUUAUGCAGCUAAUGCUGAAUAGUAGCGUGGAAAAAAGUUUAAUCGACAUUAAUUCAGCUCUUUUAGCACAAACAAAAUGCAAAAAAAAAUCGAUUUUUUUCAUUAAAAUUAUUAUUAUUAGCUUUAUUAGUUUUUUGCUUGUCGAAACGUUACGGGUCAAUUUUUAAUUUAUAUUAGAAGGAAAUACCACCCUCUUAAAAAAUCAUCCUCUUUUGUUCAGUUUCUGUUGAGAUACGAACUUGCGAUCCAUUGCUUGGCGGUCAUCGAUGAAUGCAUCUGAGCUAAUCUGUAAUAUGACGUGUACUGUGUCUGAAGUGAAUAUGCUUCUAAACAUUCUGGUCUAUUAAAUGUUGAACAGGCAUUGCAUAGCUGCUGGAAUAUUAGCUUUUUGCACACGCCUCUAAACAAAGCGUACCGGCUAAUUUGACAUAAUCAGGCAUGCCAGAUCUACAGAAUAGUCAGCAAAUUUUGGUUUUAGUUGCGUGUGCGGAUGUAAGCAACUGUCAAACCGUGCGCCGACAUUGGUAUUUUCUCUCUUCAAUGAUGUUUACGAAAAUUUUUAAUGCUCAUCGACUUUAUUUUUACCGUUUCUGUCUAGGUUUCUGUGGGUAUAUUGCUCCAUAUACACUUUUUAUAAGUAUUAUAUUAUUCAUUUUUAUUGUUUCAUUUUCUAAAAAAAGCAGCUUGAAAACAAGCAACAUAUUCACGACUACGAAGGUGCUGAUAUUUGUUUGGUUUUUGCAUGAGAAAAAGAAGAAAGGAAAUAUUUUUGCUUUUGUCAUCGUACACAUUUUGACAAUUGCAAACGAGAGUUCGCCUAGGUGCAAACAGUCUUUAAAAUCUCUUUCAACUUCGUAGUCGCGAAUAACAGUUACUCAGUAAUUAACGAUGUAGUGUUGUGUAUCAGUUAAUAUUGGAAAAGAUUUAGAAAAAAAUUGAAUCUAUUCUUUUGAAAUUAAUCGAUUCACCGAUUAAAUCGAUUAGCCUGGAUCGAUUUUUCUUAUGUUGUUGUAACCUACCAUAUACUUCUCAUAUUUCGACAAUAAAUAAUGAUAUUCUUGUAAAUUCUGAAAAUUGCACAUAAAUUUGCUGUUGCUGUUCAGUUUAAAUUUUCUGGCAUCCCUGGUCAUUGCGGCAUUGCUAUGCCGCUGUCAAGUGGUAACAUCUGUCCAGUCUCAGUUUUCAUUGUUUUUCCGCGGUUUCAGCCUCCAAUGUAAUUUCGUUUUUUGUCUUUAUUUACCAAGUUUUAUUGAGUUACCUCGCAAAAUAAACUAAGUUUUCGUGAUGCAAAGAAAUUUCUUCUGUGUGAUACAAAGCCAGUAAGUGAUAACUGUGGUUCCGCCGCAAUGGAUUGACGGAAAAUUUCUUUUCUGACACCCUAAUAGAGCCGAAAAUUGCCUCUUCCAAACCAGAAUCUAACAGAGGUAACAUUCCCUGUAUAAUAAAAAAAAAAAGAACAUUUCAACAUUUGAUGAGGCAGAAGAGGAAGAUGCAUUCCUAUCUGACAGAACAACGGUCAAUGGAUACCUCCGAUACAACAGUGCCACCUAAGAAAAGGUUGAAAAGGGCAGCUACAUCAAUUCAAGAAUUUGAUAUCAACCGUUUGCUAGAAAACAAAGGUUUGUACCCCAUUAUGUCCGAAUAAUGCUACAUUUCUAUUUUUAGGUACUUUAAUGAUGUUAGUAACCAUUGAAAAAACGUCUGCGGUUAACGUUGAUACUAAUUUGGUCUGCAAACCCAUAGAAGAAUUUUAAACAGAGCAACCAAUUGCUACUUCUUAUAUGCUACCUGGUUCCAAUACUGCAAUUAUACAUCGAAGCGAAGAUCUUGCAUAUGACCCACUAUUUGACCGCGAUGGACAGAAAAAUUUUAUGACGGAAAAGAUAAGUAAUGUUGCAAAUACGGUCAAUGGGUAAAAUACAUGCUACGAAAUUGUCAAGAGUAUCAAUUGGAGCUUCAACGUCAAAUUGAUGGAACCUUUUCUAAAAGUCAGUCACGAGGAAUUCCAUGAAACGUUGUGAAGCCGCUGCGCUGCUCGACAGUUCACCGGAGAUCAAAGAAAACAUCACUUCUGUUGCAAUUGCUGAAUGUAUGACCACUGAUGAUACGGGAAGAGAGAACGGAACAGCACAAGAAAACAGCGACACAGAAGAGGAGAGUGUUGGUGAUCAACAAGUUUCACCCCACACUUCAUCCCUGGUUGGAGUCAACUAUACAGUCCACUAUAUACAUAUCCGAAAAUAAGCGGCAUACGAGAGAUUGGCUACUCUAUCCGAAAGCAAGCGGCACACGGGAACUGAAGACGGUCACAGCGGCAAAUCACACACCAACCAUCAUCAUCAUCAUCAUCAUCGUUAGCGUCAGCCAAACCCGCUACUGAUAAGUGGUGGUGAGCCCUUAUCACUACCGUGAGAGCGAGACUGAUGAUCUGCUAAUCGAGGAGGAUCGGUAUCGGGAUCAAUCGGGAUCAAUCGGGAGGCGCAACGAUCACUUCGGGAGAAAAAACAUCGCCGCUUGGACUCACUCCACCUUGGCCCACUUUCGGAUCAGCAGCAGUCAUCACUCCCAUCUUGAACUUCAACAAGAGCGGCUCAGGAAGACCGCCAAGAAUUUAUAACUCAUCCUUAUAUUAAAUUAGCAGUUAGAAAUAUAAUUACAAAAUACACUUUCACUGUUUAAUGAAUAAAAAUAGUGCGUUUAAGUAAUUCGCGGAAUAGAACAAGGUGUUAGUUUCCUUAUUCAUUGCAACCAUCCAAAAAGACGGAUUGAGUUGCAAGGCAUUCGGCGUGGUCCACGGCUGGACACAAUUGGUAAAGUUAUUUCGAGUGCGAGCGCAAUCUCUGGUUAGGCCGCUAACGCGGCAAUAACGCAAGCCCAGCAUCCCUAUCUCGUGUUGGACUGGAGGUAAAUCCAACAUAUUGGUCCUUCGAACUGGAUCGAGGACUGAUCCGGAUCAUCAAAGCUGGGCUUUCGCCAUUGCAUUUUGGAGCGACUCCUUCAUUUACGGGACGACGCUAUUUUGGGCGGUGAAGUUUAUUGGAGUAUUGGGGAACAAAGGUUGUUCCGCCAUCGCAUAUUUUCUAACGCUUCUUAUCCGCCAUCGCUUAACUGGACAUUGGCGCCAAGGGAUUUUUCUCAGGUGAGUUGAUCCACUACCAUAUGUCCAGCCGAAGCUUAUCGUUUAUGCAAUACUAACACACGUUUUCGAACAUCAUUGCUUUGCACAUCGAGUUACUUUACUGCACUGUCGGCAUUUAUAUUGGAUAACGGUUGAAUGGAUAAAGCACACCACUAAUUGGAAGGAUUGGAAGGAAAUAGUCUGAACCCUAUCAUUAAGAAGAGGAAGCGCAAAACAAGGUUCUCCAGGAAAUUUCUUCUGUGUGAUACAAAGCCAGUAAGUGAUAACUGUGGUUCCGCCGCAAUGGAUUGACGGAAAAUUUCUUUUCUGACACCCUAAUAGAGCCGAAAAUUGCCUCUUCCAAACCAGAAUCUAACAGAGGUAACAUUCCCUGUAUAAUAAAAAAAAAAAGAACAUUUCAACAUUUGAUGAGGCAGAAGAGGAAGAUGCAUUCCUAUCUGACAGAACAACGGUCAAUGGAUACCUCCGAUACAACAGUGCCACCUAAGAAAAGGUUGAAAAGGGCAGCUACAUCAAUUCAAGAAUUUGAUAUCAACCGUUUGCUAGAAAACAAAGGUUUGUACCCCAUUAUGUCCGAAUAAUGCUACAUUUCUAUUUUUAGGUACUUUAAUGAUGUUAGUAACCAUUGAAAAAACGUCUGCGGUUAACGUUGAUACUAAUUUGGUCUGCAAACCCAUAGAAGAAUUUUAAACAGAGCAACCAAUUGCUACUUCUUAUAUGCUACCUGGUUCCAAUACUGCAAUUAUACAUCGAAGCGAAGAUCUUGCAUAUGACCCACUAUUUGACCGCGAUGGACAGGUGAGUAACUAUAUCGUCGGUUCCGUGCAACACUGGUACAACCCAAAAAUAGUUUCGAGAAAAACGCGUUUGAAAAUUAACGUCGAAAUUUUUUUUUCAAUUUUCAAGAAAACUUUAAAGUUAAUGAUUUCCAAUCCUUAUCUAACACUUUUAGGUCUAUUAAGCACAUAUUUUGAGCACGUUAAAAUCUUUUUUACUAACUUUAUAGAGAAAUUUCGAUUUGUGCAGCGAAAGCAUUUCUAUUCAUAGCUCUGGUGAUUUUGUGAAUUUCGAAACAGGGUGUUGUCGGAGGCAAAUUUACAGUAUUUGGCAUCGUUUGCCAUCCAAAACUAAAAAUGCAAAAUUUUGAGUUGUGCCAGUGUUGCACUAAACCGACGAUAUGAAGACUGAUGCAUAUAGAACAUUCCACUUUAUAUUAUAAUCACUGUAUGUUUCACUAAUCUGGCGGAGGGGAUUCGGAAAUCAAUUGAAGCUGUUAUAACGGGAUCCAGGUAAUGGAGAUUCCAUACGACUGAUUCUUUUACAACAGUAUAAAUUGGUUCUCGAAUCCACUCCGCCAAACUAGUAAAAUAUACAGUGACUAAACUUUAGAUCCCUUCUUCUCAUAGUGCAUUUUCAAACUCGCAGAUAAAUUUAACGUUUAUUAUGAAUUGCUUUCAAGGAACCGGCACGGCAAUUCUUUUUAGGAGUGAGAUGGGGUGAAAAUCGUUUUAAAUCUGUCCACGUGGUAUGUGGAUGGCCCCUAAGAUUUACGUAGUUUUCUUUCUAUACUUUUUUUUUGGCUCACAGUCUAUAUUUUUUCUGGAAAGACGAAAUUACUGUCUACAUUUUUUGCGGCAACCGUUGCAGCUCUGAUUUUUUUUUACUUUAUUUAAGAAAAUUCUGACCUUUUUUUCUCAUUUCAUUAUGAUCAGAUAACCAUCAAUUUUUUAGCAAACUUUUUGUAGUUUUGAUAAAUAAAAAAGAUUUAAAAAAAAACAGACUUUAAAAAAAAAAUUGAAUUUUUUUUUCUUUUUUUUUGUAGAAAUACGCAAUGGGGUCCUAAAGUUUUAAACGGUUUUCUGAUUUUUAUAUAUCAGCUGGAAGAGUGCAACUUUCUGAGCAAAACGUGAUUUUAAAAAAAUGUUUAUCAUUUUCCUUCGAUUUUCAAAUGAAGGAUAAAAAUCUGCUCGAAAUGCCUUAAAUGACAGUUCUCUCAUAUACCGUACAUGGGCAAAACGUCAUCUAAGACCAUUCGAGAAUUUUUUUUAUUCUUCAUUUAAAAAUCGAAGGAAAACGAUAAACGUUUUUUGAAAAUCACGUUUUGCUCAGAAAACGCGGCUUUUUCAAAUGAUAUUUAAAAACCGGUAUAGCUUUAGGACCCAAUAAACCUAUUAAUUUGAUCAUGAAAAUCAGUAUAUUUUAAAAUAAAUAGCUCACAACUAUUUUUUCUUUAUAAAUCCAAAAUGUGGUUUUUAUUUUAGGCAAAAAUGUAUGUUUAUCAAAAAUAAUGUGUUAUGUGUUAAAUGUUUUGCGAGGGUUGAUAGCAAAUAGUGAAACCCAAACGUAUUUGUAAUAUACUUCUGAUCUAACUCCUAAAUCUAAUCCAACUUUAGAGAGAGUAUGAAAGAGUAAGAGAGUAAGUAAGAGAAAGAGAGAGUAAGAAAGAGAGAGAGAGAGUAAAAAAGAGAGAGCGAGUAAGAAAGAGUAAGAAAGAGAGAGAGAGAGUAAGAAAGAGAGAGAGAGAGAGAGUAAGAGAGAAAGAGAGAGAGAAAGAAAGAGAGAGAGGAGGAAAGAGAGAGAAAAAGAGAGAGAGAGAAAGAAAGAGAAAGAGCUGACGAUUUUAUAUAAUAAUUACACUGGUCAACACAGGUGUGGUCUUAAAGUUCAAACUAGAAAAAAAAGAAAGAUUAUGAAUUUUUAGCCAUUGCUGUGAAUUUUUGUGCCCCCAGCUACCAACAUUUUUUCAGAGAUGAGUUUUCUAAUAAACAUAACAUUGAAGCGACGGACCCGGUGAGUUAUUACUAUACGAACACUCACGUAAAUAAACCCGUUUUGGUAAUGGCUAGGAGCACCAAAAUUGACAGGAAUGGUUAAAAAGCUUUAAUUUUUCUAGAGCAUCUAUUUCGAGCUUUAAAGCAACAUUUUUUCGCUUUUGUCGACCAGUGUAUCAUGCUGUUUAACUUAAAAAAUGUGUAUAACUUUCUCAACAUAUCUUUUGACUGUUUGGAAAAAUUUUAUGACGGAAAAGAUAAGUAAUGUUGCAAAUACGGUCAAUGGGUAAAAUACAUGCUACGAAAUUGUCAAGAGUAUCAAUUGGAGCUUCAACGUCAAAUUGAUGGAACCUUUUCUAAAAGUCAGUCACGAGGAAUUCCAUGAAACGUUGUGAAGCCGCUGCGCUGCUCGACAGUUCACCGGAGAUCAAAGAAAACAUCACUUCUGUUGCAAUUGCUGAAUGUAGGACCACUGAUGAUACGGGAAGAGAGAACGGAACAGCACAAGAAAACAGCGACACAGAAGAGGAGAGUGUUGGUGAUCAACAAGUUUCACCCCACACUUCAUCCCUGGUUGGAGUCAACUAUACAGUCCACUAUAUACAUAUCCGAAAAUAAGCGGCAUACGAGAGAUUGGCUACUCUAUCCGAAAGCAAGCGGCACACGGGAACUGAAGACGGUCACAGCGGCAAAUCACACACCAACCAUCAUCAUCAUCAUCAUCGUUAGCGUCAGCCAAACCCGCUACUGAUAAGUGGUGGUGAGCCCUUAUCACUACCGUGAGAGCGAGACUGAUGACCUGCUAAUCGAGGAGGAUCGGUAUCGGGAUCAAUCGGGAGGCGCAACGAUCACUUCGGGAGAAAAACAUCGCCGCUUGGACUCACUCCACCUUGGCCCACUUUCGGAUCAGCAGCAGUCAUCACUCCCAUCUUGAACUUCAACAAGAGCGGCUCAGGAAGACCGCCAGGAAUUUAUAACUCAUCCUUAUAUUAAAUUAGCAGUUAGAAAUAUAAUUACAAAAUACACUUUCACUGUUUAAUGAAUAAAAAUAGUGCGUUUAAGUAAUUCGCGGAAUAGAACAAGGUGUUAGUUUCCUUAUUCAUUGCAACCAUCCAAAAAGGCGGAUUGAGUUGCAAGGCAUUCGGCGUGGUCCACGGCUGGACACAAUUGGUAAAGUUAUUUCGAGUGCGAGCGCAAUCUCUGGUUAGGCCGCUAACGCGGCAAUAACGCAAGCCCAGCAUCCCUAUCUCGUGUUGGACUGGAGGUAAAUCUAACAUAUUGGUCCUUCGAACUGGAUCGAGGACUGAUCCGGAUCAUCAAAGCUGGGCUUUCGCCAUUGCAUUUUGGAGCGACUCCUUCAUUUACGGGACGACGCCAUUUUGGGCGGUGAAGUUUAUUGGAGUAUUGGGGAACAAAGGUUGUUCCGCCAUCGCAUAUUUUCUAACGCUUCUUAUCCGCCAUCGCUUAACUGGACAUUGGCGCCAAGGGAUUUUUCUCAGGUGAGUUGAUCCACUACCAUAUGUCCAGCCGAAGCUUAUCGUUUAUGCAAUACUAACACACGUUUUCGAACAUCAUUGCUUUGCACAUCGAGUUACUUUACUGCACUGUCGGCAUUUAUAUUGGAUAACGGUUGAAUGGAUAAAUCACACCACUAAUUGGAAGGAUUGGAAGGAAAUAGUCUGAACCCUAUCAUUAAGAAGAGGAAGCGCAAAACAAGGUUCUCCAGGUUAGUGAACAAUUGAUGGUAUAUGUUCGCCGAAGCUAGGCUCGGAUACUUCACAAUUAUAAUAAAAUAUCCUCUUCGACGGUGCGUUGUGCUUUAUACUAUUCUACUCUAUAUGCGAGUCUAUGAGGCUACUUACGGAGACAAGUUUAUAAUGUACGAUACAUUUGCUACUCGAACUUACUUUGUGAUUUGCUGCGCUGUUAGUUUCUCCAGGUGAGAUUCAACAGUAUAUGGCCAGCCGUGGCCUGGGCUUUUAUUGAUACUACAUGCUUGCUUUCCCACCUCGAUUUCCCGUUUCUAUCGAUCAUUUGAGAUUAUUUUGGAACAAACCCACCGCAUCGCCACUUAGUUCGCUAUUGGUCACAAAUUUACAUUCGCUUGGAGUGCAACAAUAUAUUCCGUCAGGUAAAAUAUAGAAUAGUAUAUGCCUGGCGAGGCUAGGAUCGUUCGCAGAAUAUUACACCACCUAUUUUUUCCGCUUAUAACAAUCGGUUACCAUGCCAGCCGCCACUGGAUCCGCUACAAAAAAGGCACCGUCCCUAAAGGGCUGGAUAACGAAAUUGAAGGAAAUUCAAUCAUCCUUCAAUGAUAUUUGGGAAUUUGUGGAACAAUUCCCGGAUGGAAGCACUGUCACUGAAAUCGAAGUCCGUUUGCAAAAACUCGAGGAAUUGUGGGAGAAAUUUGGGGAGACACUUCCCAAGGAACAAUUAUUGUUGCGUAAACAUUUACUCAACCACUUUUAUUAGGCUCGAGUUGAACAACAACCGAGAUGGAAAAUAGAAAACUUCUGUUCAAUGGUUGUUCAGUUAAAUUUGGAGAAAUUAUCCGACACACAGUAGUUUAGGAACGGCGAAGAGGGUUUUAAACAACAACAGCAGAACAUUUCAUCCAACACUUGUUAAACCAGCGUUGAACAGAUGCGCCGGAAAACAUUUAUUAGGCUACUGUUCUGUAUGUGUUCGACCAGUUGAAUAAAAUAGUCAUCGAACAUCUGUUAAACCAUUGCCCGACUUUUGAAAUGCUCUUGUUAAACGCAUGUUCAAUAAUAAUGUUUGCAAACGUUUAUUUCGCGCAUUAGUACAUACUUAUGCAGCUAAUGCUGAAUAGUAGCGUGGAAAAAAGUUUAAUCGACAUUAAUUCAGCUCUUUUAGCACAAACAAAAUGCAAAAAAAAAUCGAUUUUUUUCAUUAAAAUUAUUAUUAUUAGCUUUAUUAGUUUUUUGCUUGUCGAAACGUUAUGGGUCAAUUUUUAAUUUAUAUUAGAAGGAAAUACCACCCUCUUAAAAUCAUCCUCUUUUGUUCAGUUUCUGUUGAGAUACGAACUUGCGAUCCAUUGCUUGGCGGUCAUCGAUGAAUGCAUCUAAGCUAAUCUGUAAUAUGACGUGUACUGUGUCUAAAGUGAAUAUGCUUCUAAACAAUCUGGUCUAUUAAAUGUUGAACAGGCAUUGCAUAGCUGCUGGAAUAUUAGCUUUUUGCACACGCCUCUAAACAAAGCGUACCGGCUAAUUUGACAUAAUCAGGCAUGCCAGAUCUACAGAAUAGUCAGCAAAUUUUGGUUUUAGUUGCGUGUGCGGAUGUAAGCAACUGUCAAGCCGUGCGCUGACAUUGGUAUUUUCUCUCUUCAAUUAUGUUUACGAAAAUUUUUAAUGCUCAUCGACUUUAUUUUUAACGUUUCUGUCUAUCUAUAUAUUAUUCAUUUUUAUUGUUUUAUUUUCUAAAAAAAGCAGCUUGAAAACAAGCAAAAUAUUCACGACUACGAAGGUGCUGAUAUUCGUUUGGUUUUUGCAUGAGAAAAUGAAGAAAGGAAAUAUUUUUGCUUUUGUCAUCGUACACAUUUUGACAAUUGCAAACGAGAGUUCGCCUAGGUGCAAACAGUCUUUAAAAUCUCUCUCAACUUCGUAGUCGCGAAUAACAGUUACUCAGUAAUUAACGAUGUAGUGUUGUGUAUCAGUUAAUAUUGGAAAAGAUUUAGAAAAAAAAUUGAAUCUAUUCUUUUGAAAUUAAUCGAUUCGCCGAUUUAAUCGAUUUUUCUUAUGUUGUUGUAACCUACCAUAUACUUCUCAUAUUUCGACAAUAAAUAAUGAUAUUCUUGUAAAUUCUGAAAAUUGCACAUAAAUUUGCUGUUGCUGUUCAGUUUAAAUUUUCUGGCAUCCCUGGUCAUUGCGGCAUUGCUAUGCCGCUGUCAAGUGGUAACAUCUGUCCAGUCUCAGUUUUCAUUGUUUUUCCGCGGUUUCAGCCUCCAAUGUAAUUCCGUUUUUUGUCUUUAUUUACCAAGUUUUAUUGAGUUACUUCGCAAAAUAAAGAAAUUUCUUCUGUGUGAUACAAAGCCACCGAAAAAUGCGUCUUCCAAACCAGAAUCUAACAGAGGUAACAUUUCCUGUAUAAUCAAAAAAAAGAACAUUUCAACAUUUGAUGAGGCAGAAGAGGAAGAUGCAUUCCUAUCUGACAGAACAACGGUCAAUGGAUACCUCCGAUACAGCAGUGCCACCUAAGAAAAGGUUGAAAAGGGCAGCUACAUCAAUUCAAGAAUUUGAUAUCAACCGUUUGCUAGAAAACAAAGGUUUGUACCCCAUUAUGUCUGAAUAAUGCUACAUUUCUAUUUUUAGGUACUUUAAUGAUGUUAGUAACCAUUGAAAAAACGUCUGCGGUUAACGUUGAUACUAAUUUGGUCUGCAAACCCAUAGAAGAAUUUGAAACAGAGCAACCAAUUGCUACUUCUUAUAUGCUACCUGGUUCCAAUACUGCAAUUAUACAUCGAAGCGAAGAUCUUGCAUAUGACCCACUAUUUGACCGCGAUGGACAGAUAAAUUUAACGUUUACUAUGAAUUGCUUUCAAGGAACCGGCACGGCAAUUCUUUUUAAGAAGUGAGAUGCGGUGAAAAUCGUUUUAAAUCUGUCCACGUGGUAUGUGGAUGGCCCCUAACAUUUACGUAGUUUUCUUUCUAUACUUUUUUUUUGGCUCACAGUCUAUAUUUUUUCUGGAAAGACGAAAUUACUGUCUACAUUUUUUGCAGCAACCGUUGCAGCUCUGAUUUUUUUUCUUUAUUUAAGAAAUUUCUGACCUUUUUUCUCAUUCCAUUAUGAUCAGACAACCAUCAAUUUUUUAGCAAACUUUUGGUAGUUUUGAUAAAUAAAAAAAGAUUUAAAAAAAACAGACUUCAAAAAAAAUAUUUACAUUUUUUUUUCUUUUUUUUUGUAGAAAUACGCAAUGGGGUCCUAAAGUUUUAAACGGUUUUCUGAUUUUUAUAUAUCAGCUGGAAGAGUGCAACUUUCUGAGCAAAACGUGAUUUUUAAAAAAUGUUUAUCAUUUUCCUUUGAUUUUUAAAUGAAGGAUAAAAAUCUGCUCGAAAUGCCUUAAAUGACAGUUCUCUCAUAUACCGUACAUGGGCGAAACGUCAUCUAAGACCAUUCGAGAUUUUUUUUUUAUUCUUCAUUUAAAAAUCGAAUGAAAACGAUAAACGUUUUUUGAAAAUCACGUUUUGCUCAGGAAACGCAGCUUUUUCAAAUGAUAUUUAAAAACCGGUAUAGCUUUAGGACCCAAUAAACCUAUUAAUUUGAUCAUGAAAAUCAGUAUAUUUUAAAAUAAAUAGCUCACAACUAUUUUUUCUUUAUAAUUCCAAAAUGUGGUUUUUAUUUUAGGCAAAAAUGUAUGUUUAUCAAAAAUAAUGUGUUAUGUGUUAAAUGUUUUGCGAGAGUUGAUAGCAAAUAGUGAAACCCAAACGUAUUUGUAAUAAACUUCUGAUCUAACUCCUAAAUCUAAUCCAACUUUAGAGAGAGUAUGAAAGAGUAAGAGAGUAAGUAAGAGAAAGAGAGAGUAAGAAAGAGAGAGAGAUAGUAAAAAAGAGAAAGCGAGUAAGAAAGAGAGAGAGAGUAAGAAAGAGUAAGAAAGAGAGUAAGAAAGUGAGAGAGAGUAAGAAAGUGAGAGAGAGUAAGAAAGAGAGAGAGAGAGAGAGUAAGAAAGAAAGAGAGAGAGGAGGAAAGAGAGAGAGAGAGAGAGAGAAAGAAAGAGAGAGAGAGAGAUAGCUGACGAUUUUAUAUAAUAAUUACACUGGUCAACACAGGUGUGGUCUUAAAGUUCAAACUAGAAAAAAAAGAAAGAUUAUGAAUUUUUAGCCAUUGCUGUGAAUUUUUGUGCCCCCAGCUACCAACAUUUUUUCAGAGAUGAGUUUUCUAAUAAACAUAACAUUGAAGCGACGGACCCGGUGAGUUAUUACUAUACGAACACUCACGUAAAUAAACCCGUUUUGGUAAUGGCUUAGGAGCACCAAAAUUGACAGGAAUGGUUAAAAAGAUUAUGAAUUUUUAGCCAUUGCUGUGAAUUUUGGUGCCCCCAGCUACCAAAAUUUUUUUCAGACAUGAGUUUUCUAAUAAACAUAACAUUGAAGCGACGGACCCGGUGAGUUUUUACUAUACGAACACUCACGUAAAUAAACCCGUUUUGGUAAUGGCUAGGAGCACCAAAAUUGACAGGAAUGGUUAAAAAGCUUUAAUUUUUCUAGAGCAUCUAUUUCGAGCUUUAAAGCAACAUUUUUUCGCUCUUGUCGACCAGUGUAUCAUGCUGUUUAACUUAAAAAAUGUGUAUAACUUUCUCA
Molecule: long non-coding RNA, 15958 nt
Organism: Wyeomyia smithii (pitcher-plant mosquito)
Lineage: Eukaryota; Metazoa; Arthropoda; Insecta; Diptera; Culicidae
Exons: 9
Source: RefSeq, a predicted model, not a curated record